UGCCAGCCGCCGCGGUAAUACGGGGGGCGCAAGCGUUAUUCGGAAUUAUUGGGCGUAAAGGGUGCGCAGGCGGACUUGUGCGUCAGAGGUUAAAUGUCACCGCUCAACGGUGAACCUGCCUUUGAUACGGCGAGUCUUGAGUACGAGAGAGGUAGGUAGAAUUCCUGGUGUAGCGGUGAAAUGCGUAGAUAUCAGGAGGAACACCGAUGGCGAAGGCAUCUCUCUGGGCCGAUAUUGACGCUGAGGCGCGAAGGCGUGGGUAGCGAACGGGAUUAGAUA
This 279-nucleotide ribosomal RNA is filed under the name uncultured bacterium. RNAcentral describes it as "partial 16S ribosomal RNA". It matches the Rfam family "Bacterial small subunit ribosomal RNA", at positions 506 to 784 of the family's 1533-position model. The record is from RNAcentral.